Molecule: long non-coding RNA, 2954 nt
Organism: Acanthaster planci (crown-of-thorns starfish)
Lineage: Eukaryota; Metazoa; Echinodermata; Asteroidea; Valvatida; Acanthasteridae
Source: RefSeq, a predicted model, not a curated record
ACUGCCGAACCAGCUAACAAGAAAUCUGUCUGCAGCCCUAACCAAAACGCUGUAUACAUUUUCCAGCAAGACCAAGAUGAUGCAGUUGUGACCAAAGAUUGCAUAGCGCCGUGCAGGGGCGCAAGAUGGGGAACUGACCAUCCCGCAUGUGUUAAUUUUAUGGAGUCACGAUCUGCCAUUUUGGUGUGCAAAUUGCGAGCUGUUUGUACACGCGACAUAUGGCGGCGGGAGGCUCUAUCCACGAAAAAGGGGCAAUAAGGAGGGAUGGAUUAUGUAAAAUUGCUUCGGGUGACAACAAAGCCAAUCUGCACUGGUCAUACUGAAAAGGAACAACAUGACUCCUCAGGCUUUUACAUCACUGGUAACCAGCUAUGGAUGGUAUCAAGAACAGGGUCCUGCUGUUAAAUGCAUCAAACAAGUUAUCGAAUGAUUUUUUCGAACUCUAAAGUGUAGGCAGCUUCAGCAGGGAGCUUCCCAUGAGAAGUACAAGUGUAGAUGCCUGCUGCAACGGUAUGACACAAGACCUGUGCUGCCUUAUUCACUCUCAAUUUUUGAGAAGUUGUCAAAGGGACCUCGUGAAAGUUUAGAUGCCAUACGAAUGGGCAUUUGUGAAUCACACUCCCCAAAAAAUCAAAUGUAGGACCAUUUUACAUGUCCAGUGGCCCCCUCUGAAUCCUUAGACAUGUAUCUAAGAAGGUAGUUAUGUAAGUUUGAUCUUGUAUUCUUAGUUAAGGAAAUGAGGCUGAUAAAACUACAAAAGACCUUUUUUUCAUCAAGCAAAAAGUAUGGUUUUCCUCUGAAAUUGCAAGUGUAUUGUACAGUUUCACAUUACUGCAUCCUUUGUCGCAUACAAUCAAUUUCAGAAUCAAGAGACAAGAAAAUUACUUUGCAUAACACCAUCUUCUACCUCUAACAUUUACACACCUUGAUGAGUUGCGUAUUUGUCAAUUUGAGAAGCAAAGAAAAACAGCUGGUUCAUCCAUGUACCGAGGAGCACCUUUGAUGAGGUUGCUCCUGAUUUCAGCUGGAGUGGUAAUACGUGAGAGGAUGUUCUGAAGCCGUUGCACUUUCUCUCUCAGUCGAGAUGUUUUGACUCUUUCCUUGAGCAGAGCUUUUUCGGUUUUCCUAUGAUGAAUGCCAUCUUCAGUUAAGGGACCAUCUACUAUGAUCGUGUGCAACAUUUUUUAGUCAAAGAAUACAUAUAUGCAUAUAUAAAUCAAGCAUCCAUUGGCUGAACCCCCAUAUUGCCCAUUAACUUUAACUCAAAUUCAGCGUUCAGCCAAUGGGCACGUGUAAUGUGUAAUGGGUCCGUGUGAUGACAAAGUCACUGAUGAACUUGAAUGUACAGACAAAGAUUGAUAGGCAAUUUUAAUUGUAUAUACACAUAUAUAAUGAUACAUGUACGUAUAUCUGUAUAUAUUUAUUUUCUUUUGGCCAGUUUUAGUGGACUUUUUUAUGUCCUAUCUGGCUCAAGCUUCCUUUAGCAUCCUCAUUUUUAUCGUUGAGGUGUCACAAGUUUUGGUGGGUUUGGGACCUCAAACAUUGUGGGCACUUCAUUCCAUUUCAGCUUGUUUGGAGGUGAUUGGUAAACUGACUGGGUUCAAAAUAAUUGGAACACAGGCAGAAGUUUGUGUAGAGACACCAUUGGGCUCUCUUCAGAAGAUCCUUCCUGUGGGUGUUUUGAACUUAGAAUUGGCAUCUGUAAUGAAAUGGAAACAUCAAAUAAAAUGUAAGCACAUAGUAAAAUUCAAGCGCAGUUUCUGCGCUUUUGUUGUUUUAACUGUCCAUACUGUCUGUGAAAUAAAGAAAGCUUGAUAAAACUCCUAAAGAAGGUGGUGUGGUUUUCAUCCUUUGUCCAAUAUGCCAGUAGAUAUUUGUAGUGUAUGCCUAGGUGUUUAGUAGAAUGUUAAGCUAAUUACAAUGUACAUGCAUUCACGGGUCAGAGGCUCAUUACAAAUAUGAACGUCAUUAAUUUAGGGGCUCAAUCUAGCUUGAGCUAUGUGUUGAUUUUUGCCGCUAUUGUAUGCCUAUUUUUUGGUAAAUUUCACUUUGCACUAUUUAAAUUACUUCUUGCCUUUCUUUGUUCUUGGGAAAAUAUGAGAAUGAUAGUUCCGAGCUUUUCUUGAACCUGCUUUUGCUGUUGAUGCAUAGACCUGGAGGAGAAAAAUGGUUGAUGGCUGCACACGUUGACGACAUUGUGCUUCGCGAUCCAUGCAUACACAGAGCGCCGCCCAGAAACGCGCAUAUACUGUGGCGCAAUAUCACACCAAAAUGGCGCCCAUGGCGAUUACGCGUUUCAGUGGAGAGUUGCCCAUCUUGCGCCGCGGAGCGGCGCUAUACAAUCUUUGGUUGUGACGUAGCUUCUUGCAUAUUUAUAAAUCAAUGCUGAAGAACAGUUUCAUACGGAAAUUGUGUAUUGCUUACCUGUUAAGCAUCAGCUUUGCUAUGGCCCUCAAUCCGGGGUUCUUCUUCAGCGAUGCCACUAGCCUAUGCAAAAAAAUCUGAAAAUCAACAAAUCCACAGCGCUUUGCACGGUGUCGGUUUUAUGCGUAUUAAUGCAUGGGUCUGCGUGCAUGUACAUGUACACAAUGUGCAUCUUCAUCGUGUAGUCAUCUAUAAAAACAAAAAAAGUUCUUUCUUGAUCAUCGCUGGUCGAUCACAGAAAUGAGUUGCAGCCUAUAUGUAGGCCAGCCUGCUGUAUUUUACUCAAAAAGAUACGUACUUUUUUUUUUUUUAGUUUGGCCGAUCAGGCAGGCCAUGUCAUAAAUUUGCUUGAUCGAAUUGGAUCAACACUUGCCAAAGAUUUUGUAGCGUGUCCCACUGCACAGGGUUCGACGCUGUAAGAACGACACUCAGGUGCAACUCACAAAAAUCUCUCCUUUAUUCUGUCGCAAUCUGACAGCACCACAAUGUACUCUUCCGACAAGCUCUUCACAACAUGGCGCCUGACAGCA